Apis dorsata (giant honeybee) is the source of this 388-nucleotide long non-coding RNA. RefSeq lists it as uncharacterized. The record is from RefSeq and is a predicted model, not a curated record. NCBI's taxonomy places the organism in Eukaryota, Metazoa, Arthropoda, Insecta, Hymenoptera, Apidae. The transcript is spliced from 3 exons.
UCGAAGAAAAUCAUAAUAAAAAUAAAAAUAAAAAAACAUAGAACAGAGCCGCGUGUGUCAAACUGCGUUUCGUUCUAUUUUCACCGAAACGAGAUCGAUACACGAAUGUCCAUGCACCGUGGCUGCAGUACGCUCGGAUGACCGCAUAACCGCAUAGUAAUGCACACUAUUACACGGGGUAACGCAAAAAUAGUGGUGCAUAGUCGCGUUCUAUCGAUCACACACCGUUACCGUUAUUGCACUUUCGCUGAAGAAAGAUCAAACCUUGGUGGAAGAUUUCCUCGAACGAAAGAGAAAGAAAAAAAUAGGAUUAUUCCCUCCGCUUUGUCUCUCGUAUCUUAUCCUCUUUUUUUUUUCGAUUUAUUUUCUAUUUAUUUGACAUUAGUUU